This is a long non-coding RNA of Bradysia coprophila, 246 nucleotides long. The record is from RefSeq and is a predicted model, not a curated record. Lineage: Eukaryota; Metazoa; Arthropoda; Insecta; Diptera; Sciaridae.
UAUUUUCAUCCAAAAAUUUCUUUACAAUUUUCCCUCCACUGUGAAUGGUGCUACACACGUAAUUUACUAAAUACGACUGAUGGAAUACGAUGGAUUCAAGUCAGCACAUUGGUGUUUAUUUUGUUUUGAUUCACAAUAUUGUAUGUGAAAAUAGGGUGAAUUGAGUGUCGGACGGUUCAAUUGGUCAAGUUUCUUUCAGUAUACACAACUAUACACAACCUAUAACUAGACAUCGUUUUGUUUCAG